GCUCUGCCCUUUGUCCCCAGCCCAUUCAUUCCAGCCCAGACUAUUCAAAUCUGCCUUCUAUCAGGACCUAGAAAGGAUGUAAAACGGCUAGGAAGAAACAUCCCCUGGGUCUGGGGAAGCUGUCAGGAGCAGUGACAUCACAGGGAAAACCACCAAUCAAGUCCAAGGAGACCAGAGCCCAGCCCAUCGCCCAGAGGACCCCAGUCAGAGGCCUCAUCUCAGACCCGAGGCUAGCAUGGGCUGCAGGCUACUCUGCUGUGUGGUUCUCUGUCUCCUGGGAGCAGUCCGCAUAGACACUGGAGUUACCCAAACACCAAAGCACCUGGUCAUGGGAAUGACAAAUAAGAAGUCUUUGAAAUGUGAACAACAUAUGGGACACAGGGCCAUGUACUGGUACAAGCAGAAAGCCAAGAAGCCGCCAGAGAUCAUGUUUAUGUACAACUAUGAGAAACUCUCUAUUAAUGAAAGUGUGCCCAGUCGCUUCUCACCUGAAUGCUCCAAGAGCUCUCUCUUAUACCUUCACCUACAAGCCCUGCAGCCAGAAGACUCAGCCCUGUAUCUCUGCGCCAGCAGCAAAGACACAGCCUUGCAGAGUCGCCGCGUUCCUGUGCAGAAACCUUCAGGGCCUGAGAGGAAGCUGUGGGGGCCAUGCAGGGCUCGGGUUUUUGUCAUGCAGAGUCAAGCAGCUCUGAGCAUUGUGAAAUCAGAGAACGAACUUCCAGGCAAGGAUCCCAGUGCAGAAGCCAGCUGGAGAGGACA
Molecule: non-coding RNA, 759 nt
Organism: Piliocolobus tephrosceles (Ugandan red Colobus)
Lineage: Eukaryota; Metazoa; Chordata; Mammalia; Primates; Cercopithecidae
Source: the annotation of a RefSeq genome assembly